GCCCACUGCCGCCGGGAGGCCGCGCACACUGCCGCUGUUGUGUGGGUUUGUGUUGAAGGUAAAGGGCCGGGAGGCCGCGCACACUGCCGCUGUUGUCCGGGUUUGUGUUGAAGGUAAAGGGCCGGGAGGCCGCGCACACUGCCGCUGUUGUCCGGGUUUGUGUUGAAGGUAAAGGGCCGGGAGGCCGCGCACACUGCCGCUGUUGUCCGGGUUUGUGUUGAAGAACUAGCUUUCUUACGAGAAGAGGCAGAGACCCUAGCAAUGCUCACACAGAAAGGAAAGGCCACCUGGGGACAGAGAAAGAAGGCACCUGUCUACAAGCUGAGAAGAGAGGCCUCAGGAGACACCAGCCCUGCCAGCACCUUGAUUUUGGAUUCCAGCCUUCAGAACGAUCACUGAUUUCAAAGAGUUACAGUGAAAGCAGGUGCUUCACAUGCAUGAGGACGUGCUGCAAAGAUGAUUGGACAGGACAUCAGGGAUUCCAGAAAUUACCUGUGGCCCACCCUCUUCCCGGAUCAACAGGGUCCAAGAGCAGGAAAGUGGAAUUGAAUACCUGGACUAAGACCAAAGAAUGCCGCAGUGCGAGUUGGGGGGGAUAAAUUCCAGGUUUUGAGCUGUUGCUCUAGUCGGUCUGCGCCUGCAGAUGGCAGCGCUCCUUCAUCGUUGCAGCGAUGUGGAUUGAAAUGCACUGGAGCGUCAAUGGAAGGUGAAUUUAUGAAGUGAAAUCAAACUUCAGAAAUCUAUUUUCAGUUGAUUCCACUGGACGCAACUCAAGCAACAGUGUUAAAUGACGAUGGGGAAUACACGUGGGGCAGAGGGACCGGGUGCCUCGUGACAGCGCCCCACUCAGGCCCCAGCUGGAACUGAGCGCAGCCCCCAUCCGGGGAACGGGGACAGUCUCCCCCUGGUGGAGCCGCUGAGGUGUGUCCGCCAGCGACGGCGGAAUCGCUCACUGCGCACCGUCCUGACUCCUCAAUACAAAUACGGGUGUCAGUGACAUGAAAUUUGUCACUGCAGAUAUCCAGAGAGCUGAAAUAAAGGAGUUGCUGGAGUGCUGAAAUGCAGAACCUAGAGCAAUACUGAAGUAUGGACUGGGUCUGAGCUGCUGUACAGCUGUUGAAGGCAGUCUGAGGCACCCUGGAGAGAGACCUGGGCUUUCAGUACCCUUCUCAGGCCCCCAGCCCUCCUAGAGCAUUCCUCAGCGAGAUCUGUCAGCUUGCCAUGCACAGGUUUUGCCUUGUCCCAGAUCCUAGACCAGUGCUAAGUGGCAGCAGCAAGCCCUUACGCACAUUCCUAUUGAGGACAUUCCUUAUUGUAUUUCCUUGCGGACGUCAUAGUGUUACUGGGGGGUCCUUGUUCUUAGAGCUCCCAAGAUGGUGGCUGCUUCCAAGAUGGUGGCAAGCCUCGUGUUCUCUGACCUGGGGUUCUUGGCCUCAUGGAUUCCAAGGAAUGGAACCUUGGGCCAUGCGGGGAGUGUUAUAGCUCUAUUAGAAGCCCUGGGUCACGGAAGAGGACCGUGGAACCUAUGACUAGUGUUCAGCUCAAUUAGGACAAACCCUGGCACUUAGCCAUGCAGGAACAAUGGCAAGCCUUUAUCCUGAUCCAGAGUGGCAACAGGCGCCUUGCUGGAUCAGAAACGCAGUGGACACCCUGCCAGAUCCGGAGGGGAGAAGUCAAGGGAGGGUCUGGGACGACAGACAACAGCGGUGGUGGACGGCAAGCGAAAGCUCAGUUUGAGCCAUCACAAACACAGACCAGAAGAGUGCGCAGUUGCAAGAUUUAACAGGGUGAAAACAGAGCUCCCAUACAAUGGUAGGGGACCCAAAGGGGGCUGCUGUUGCCGGCUCAAAUGCCUGGGUUUAUAUCCCGAUCAUUGUCCCUCCCCCUGUGCUCUCAGGCAAUAGAUGAUUCGCUAUUUCUUUACCUUCUGUUUUUGCCUAAUUAGCAUUUUAGCGAGCUGUCUUUACUACCUGAUUGGUUGGGUGUGAGCUAAGUUGCAAGCUCCCUGUUUAAAGGUGGAUGCAGUCACCUUCCCAGCUAGGCUUAGGGAUUCUUAGUCGGCCUAGGAAAUCCAGCUGGUCCUGUCUCUCAAUAGUGCCCCAGCUCCUACUAUUGGGUGUCUUUGUGGUGGCUUCAAUGGCUUAUUUCAAAACUUACCUGGACCUGGUGGUCCCAGAGAAAGCUUCUAGAAUUCAAUGUGCUUCCGCAAGUGGGAGCCACUUUCUCAUCUUGACUCAGCGGUUCCAUUCUGAUUCUUAACCUCCAAUGCCAACUAUCUUCAGCAUAUUGCAAACUUCAGCAAACGAACAAAGCCAAGACUACUAACCUGUCAGGAAUCUUUCUGCAAAUCCGAAAAAAGCUCUGGGAGGGCAGAGGGCAGUGUCUUGUGCACUUAGAGAAUGCCUUCAUGUAUAUAUCUGUAUUAUGCAGUUUUCUUAAGGGUGUCUUUUUCUCUGGAAAGAUCUAACCCCGUCCCAGGCUACAUGACUCGGAAGGCAGAGAAGUGUUGGAUUUCAGCCCCACUCACCCCUCAGCUAGGUGCCUAUGUGCGUUAGACCACCUAUUUGACUAUACAAAUGGCUUAUGCCCAUUUAAAAAAUUAUUUUUCUAGAAGGCUUUCUAGUCCAGAAAUUGCUCUAACACAAUAACAAUAAAUAACACAAAUAAUUGCUCUAACACAAUAAACAAUAAAUAACAAUAAAUUGCUCUUUAUGCUUACCUGAAUCUUGGCUUAGCACGGAAGGAUCCAGGAUUUAUAGGCAGGCCUUCCAGAUGUCAACAACUCCUGAAGUAUGAAAUUUUGACAUGAUCGAGAUUUAGCAACGUGUUUCUAUUGGCCUGAGGUCAUUUGUACCAUUGUUUUCACACAGGCAUCCCUAUUAUAACCAAACCCAAUGCCUAGACAGUGCCUGGCCUAUAAGAGAGAGACAAUAAAAAAGUUGUGGGCUCAGUUAACAAGCCAUUGCAUCACCCACCAUCAAUGCCCUCCUGCUGACCAAGAACCAGACCAAGAACCAUGUUGACCACGUCUUGCUACCAGGAAAAUCACACUAUUUGUCCAACAAAUCCUAAGAUAUAAUAAUAAAGAUGAAAAGUUACAUUAAAAAGUAUUACUAAAAUUAGGAUAUCAAUCUGCAUGUACUUAAAUACGUGAAAAGAGGUAAUAUAAUGUGUAUGAAAAGAGGUAAUAUAAUGUGUAUGAAAAAAAUGUUCUACUGAAUGAUUUUGGAAGCAGUUGAUAAAUUAUUUUACCAGAAAGAGUAAGAAUGGCAUAAUCAUCUGUAGAUACCACAGUACAUAUAAUUCUUUAUGAGAUGGUUAAUAACAGUGGAGUUGAUCUUGGGAAAACAUGCACGAAUUGUGUGUAGCUUGCCAGCCGUUUUUCCCUCAAACCUUUAUACUUGUGGCUUGUUUAACAUCUUAUAAUCCCUUGUGAUUACGUUGUUAAAUCAAUUUUUUCAUGUUUCUUUUGUGGCCAUCUUUUAUAAUUUUUAUUUUUAUACAGCCAGUGGGUCCCUGUUGUGAGGACGGCAUGGGAGAGAUGACUUCCUUCCAGCCUAAGGGAUUGGGCACCGAAGACAGCACAGACAAGCAUCCUUGGUCAUUGCAUGGAAUAGAACAUUUCAACAGCUCAAACACACUGGCAAUACACGUGCUUGCUAACAACUACAUGGCCAAAGAAAACACUCAAAUAAACCUGCGAGUUUGUUCUUGCUUGGGGAGCAGGAGAAGUUAAUGCCAUGAGGCCAUUCUAAAGUGGACCAGAAAGUUCCUUCCUUAUGUUUGAAAAAAUUCAUUUUAAAAAGAAAGGCUGUGGUGUCCUUGUGGAAUACACUCGUGGGCUUUCAGUGUGAGACGCCUUCUGGGAGCCAUGAUCAAGCCUGGACUUUGAAUAAGGCAGCUGGAGAGUGGAGGAUUCAUGGAAGGUGAGGAUCAAUAUGGAUCUAUGAACUUAAAAAAAAAAGGGAGAGAGAUGUGGAGUUAAAACAACAACAAAAACAUCACUCUUCAGUGGCUGCCACAACUCCUGCUUCUGCUUUCCCAUUCGCUGCCAAGGACAGGCAACCUCAGCGAUGUACCGAGUGAGACGCUGGGCAGGCGUGAAAGGUACAGUGGGAACGCUGGGACCGAUGGUGUGGGGAAGGACAGGAAUGAACCGUGCCUCCAAUGAAGAGAGCACCGUCGCACGCCUGCCCCUUUGCAGUGUGACGUUGCUGUUGUGACAUUGCUGUUCCUAUAACCAGCAGGUGAGGUGUGUUCUUCAGCUCCUUGAAACCAGGCAGACCUUUUGAUAUGCUGAGACCAGUAGCAUGUGGUGGAAGGGCCAUGUGGAGAAGAGUCAGGUGCCUCAAACAACAGACAGCACAGACUGCCAGAGGAGCGAGUGAAGCCAGCCCGGACGCUCUACUUACUGCAAGCCAUCAGGUCACUGCAGCUGCAUGUGUGAACCCAAGUUAGACCAGCAGGACUGCCUGGAUUGCCAGUGCGUAAAAUUAUGCAAAAGAACCAAUGAUUGCUGUUUUAUGCCACGAUUUUGGAGGACCUUGUAACAAGAACAAUAAAUAACUGACACAGGUGUUCAAGGCUGCAGUGAGCUAUAACUGCACCACCGCAGUCCAACCUGGGUGACAGAGCAAGGGAGCCUGUCUCAAAAAAAUAAAAUAAAUUACUGACAUAUGCUUAUUAUUUUUAAAAUAAUUUUCUUUUGACUUAAUUCUUCAGUUCAGCUUGCUUAUAUGGAUAAUAUCAAAAUGAAUCACUUUAAUUUUCUACUAUGGAUUAUAGUUAAGAGCUUGUCAAAAAUAGACCAGAUACCUCUACAACAGCAGCAUUUAUUCAGGUCAUGGUACCUGCAUGGGCAACUGAGAUCCAUCGUCUGGUCCCAGGUUUUGUAUGUCAGGUUACAGGACGGAUUCACAACAUUCAAUCUCACAAAACAUUAACGUUCUAUUUAGAAUGGUCCAUUUCUUAAAAAUUAAAGUAAUGCUGCAACGUAGGCAAGAUUUUUCAUCUCUUCAGCAGAAAACCCUGACCUAUGUUGGUAACCUAAAUGAAAAGUGAAAAUAUUUCGAGAUAUAAAUGAUAAUUUGGAUGCUAUUAUACUAUCACAGGAUCCUGAUGCCCCUUAUCAGUGAUAAACAAUGGAACCUGAUAGUGCAUCCCAGCAGAUAGGACCUCUUCCACACUGCACAGUGUUAGAGAUGCAACGAGAGGCUCCAGGCCAGGUGCAGUGGCUCAAACCUGUAAUCUCAGCAGUUUGGGAGGCUGAGGUGGGUGGAUUGCUUUAGGCCAGGAGCUUGAGAUGGGCGUGGCCAACAUAGUGAAACCCCGUCUCUACUAAAAAUACAAAACUUGGCCCAGUGUAGUGGCACGCGCCUGUAGUCCCAGUGACUCAGGAAGCUGAGGCACAAGAAUCGCUUGAACCCAGGAGGCAGAAUCUAUAGUGAGCCGUGAUCAUGCCACUGCACUCCAGCCUGGGCAACAGAAUGAGACUCCAUUUCAAAAAAAAAAAAAAAAAUAGACUCUAGUGCUGGUAUUCUAAUUUCUAAGACUCCAUAUGGAAAUAUGGAAAUACCUGUUGAGAGACACCAGCAUUAUAUCACGCUGACAUCAUUGCAUUGUGAUCCGUUUUUCCUGGCUCUGCACUCUUGAUGGAGACUUGAGAAAACUCGCUGGCAGCACAUUUCUCAACAUUCAUAUUUUUGCUUAGGUUAGUACUUUACCAAUCUUAUCCCCAAAUUGUGGCAGAUCACUCUGUCCCUACUAUGUCUCCAGGAAAGCAGCAGAAAUCUCUCAGCCAUUUUUAUAUCUUUGGCACAUCUUCAAAGUUGAUAUAAUUAUUUGCAUUCUUUCUGAUUACGUGAAAACCGAGGCCUUAUUUGUUAUAUUAAGAGUUCAAGUUCCUUAAUAGUAAUACUUUGGCUCAUUGUUUUCUUAUGAAAAUAUAGCUAUAACAUCAUUUUAAAAGAGAUGGGACUUAGAAAGAUUCCGCUCUACUGAUUUUACAGCUGUUUGGUGCAAUACAUAAUUACUGGGUAGCUUUACUCCAGUGGGAAAAUGAUGCUCCAGAUACUGCAUUAAGCAUUUUUCCUCACAAUGAAUGCCUAGUUUACUUUUGCACAUUCUCAAAUUUAUAUACUUCUCCCUCUUCUAUUCCCAUCAAUAAGGCCUUUCCAGCAACUCUCCUCCUACUCCCUUUACCAAAACAAACACAAAUAAAUAAAAUAAUCAGUCAAAAGGAGGCAGGCAUGAGGGUACUUUGUCAGUAUUGUUAUCACCUGGAGUAUUAGUAAACUGCCUCAGUGGUGUGCGAGAUUUCUUUCAAACCUUUGUAUUUUUAAGUGGGACAUGUAAUUAUAUCACGAAAAUGAGAACGGAAACAAAAUUAAAGUUUUAUGCUAUCAUUAUUAAUCAUUCUAGUCAUAAUAUUUAAUUUUCUGUCCCCUAUGACAUGUAUAAUAACUAAGGAAAUAUGCCCCAUUUAAAGGAUUGAAGCCAGUAUCCUCCAUCAUUUGAGGGGAAUUUCCAGCCAAAAUGUUUGAUUGGCACUCAUGAGGACAGGUGCGACCCUGCACCUGGGUCACUAGUUAAUUCCUCUGGAUACUUGUUUGGGUCAAAAUGAGCUCAAGUGAGUAACAGGCACAAAGCCUUCGCUUUCUGUCUCGACCCAACAAGGACCUGUACAGAAGAUGAGUUUUCUCAUCAGCCCAUUCCCAAGUAUCCCACAUAUUCAAUGAGCCAGCAGGUCAUCUCCUGUUCAGCAGUUGAAAAUCACCUCCGAUUCAGCUGACACACAGGAAGUCCAUCAAUGUCCAUUAGCCCAGAACAAGCGUGUCGGUCACAGCAGCUGUCAGUCUAGGCCAAAGAGGUCCUGUCAGGGCCAUUGUUAUUUUUGUCCUGAAGUUAGGUAUGAAAGUUAUGGUCAUGGCAGGUUUUAAUUAUUUGUGUCAACAAAGACAAUGGACAGUCACCCAAACUCAAUAACUCUGUAUUUUAAAAGCUGUAAAGAAAAGCACAUGUGAUAAGCUUAUCAAUAUUUCUGAUAUAUUAUUCAGGUACUUUGGUCCUUGUGUGUCUCUGAUUAGGUGUCGGCUUUUAGAUUAGAUGGAUUGGAUUGAUUAUGGCUUUUGAAAAUUGUUAUUUAUAUUUAGAUAUCUCUAUAUUGGACACGUAGUUGUUUGGAGAAAUGAGUCUAAUACCCAUGUUGAAAGCAGAAACGGGAUAUAACGUUUUUGUUCUGUUUCUAUGAUCUUUUUAUGAACAAGAAUGUUACGCCAACUCUAUUUUUUUGGAGAUAAAUGGGUAUAUGAAAAUAACACCUUCAGCACGUAUUGCCUAACACUCAUUUGUAAUUAUCACGUAUAAUGCCUGGUUGAUUACGGUUUUAACGUCUUUGCAUAUUGUAAGCCCCCAAUGAUGCUGUGACCUACUUGGAUGCAGAGCCUCUUUCACUGUGUCAUUAUGCCUCCAAUAAUACAACUAACAUGAAUAGUAAAGAGCAAUAAAUAGAUAGCUCCCAUCCAUUGAGCUCUUAGUUGCUCGUGGCUUAAUGCUAAACACUUCCCAUAUGUAUCUUAACCCUGAAAAUCAUUCCAUGAGGCAGCAAUUAUUUGUGUCUUUACAGACAAUGGAACAGAAGUGUAUGUAAUUACUAACUUGCUUAUGCUUAUAUUUUGCUAAAAGAAAAGGUUCUCUCCCCCUUUUAGGUGCAUUUGCAAGGCAGCUCUUCGGAACAAGGCACAGGCGUUCUAUUUUUUUAUUAUUAGUAGCAGCAGCAACUGCUGCAACAGCAGUAGCCUUAGUAGCAGUUUGCUGUUUAUAAUCUCCUUUCUCAAUUGGAUUGUUUGCAUCUUGAGGUCCUCUUGCUCAUAUUUGUAUUCUUAACAUCCAUGAGCCACCUCUCAGGUACCACUAAUACAAUGUCGAGGAAUAAAUGGGGAGAAUUGUUAUGAUCUUGAGCCUCGCUCCUAGAGGAUCACUUCUCUGUAAGAGGGAUGUGUAAUUCAGGACUCCCCAGAUGGGAAACCAGUAUGUGUGGAAAUAUUAUAAAGAGGUUUCACUGUAGCGUACGUUGUAAUAAUUUACAACAUUUGUUCAAAUGCAUAUCCUACAUGGUACAGCAAUUACACAGGUAAUAAAUCUUGUAUCUGAAAACACAGAACACAUGAUACCCAGCCUUUUCAUGCACACUUGAUUUCUCCUGAUUUAUUAAUAACUUUCUCGUGUUUAAGUGACUGUCCUUAUUACGCAUUGCUUUGUUUCUCACUGUGGCAUGACCUUAGCUCGACAGUUGCUAAAAUUCUCCCAGGAGACUUUUUAAUGCUACAUUUGCUUAGAAGACAUGUUCUGCCUUGUGGCUAAUGAUAUAGUUGCGUGGUAAGAAAGAAGGAUGAAAGCAGAAACACACAGACAGGACAUUGAGAAGCGGAUUAACAACAAAUACAAAGGAGGGAAACGAAAACCAAUUCAUUCUCUUUUUUUGCACAUAGUUUUAAGCAUAUCAUGACAUUUCGAAAGUAGGAAACAUCCCUACAAAGCUGGAUCAAACACGAUACUAACCCCAACACCACAGUUCUUCAAGUGGCAGGUGGUAAACUAUAACACACCAUUAACACUUUGUAAAAUGUUACUUAAAAUACAAAUGAUAAAGGGACCAAAGGCCCUGGCGUUCUCAGUUUAACUGACUUGUUUACCUUUAUAGUUUAGUCACAUGAUAUUGUUUUUACCAAUGAAUGUAAGUUCUCAUCUUCAUUUCACGCUCAAUCUGU
This 8768-nucleotide long non-coding RNA is filed under the name Homo sapiens (human). Its description in RNAcentral is "non-protein coding lnc-FRG2-14:4". The record is from RNAcentral. Lineage: Eukaryota; Metazoa; Chordata; Mammalia; Primates; Hominidae.